UCUACGGGAGGCAGCAGUGAGGAAUAUUGGUCAAUGGGCGAGAGCCUGAACCAGCCAAGUCGCGUGAGGGAGUACUGCCCUAUGGGUUGUAAACCUCUUUUGUCGGGGAGCAAAAGCCGGACGUGUCCGGCUGUGAGAGUACCCGAAGAAAAAGCAUCGGCUAACUCCGUGCCAGCAGCCGCGGUAAUACGUAGGGGGCAAGCGUUAUCCGGAUUUACUGGGUGGAAAGGGAGCGUAGACGGCAAUACAAGUCGGAAGUGAAAUACCCGGGCUCAACCUGGGAACUGCUUGGGAAACUGUAGGGCUGGAGUGCUGGAGAGGUAAGCGGAAUUCCUAGUGUAGCGGUGAAAUGCGUAGAUAUUAGGAGGAACACCAGUGGCGAAGGCGGCUUACUGGACAGUAACUGACGUUGAGGCUCGAAAGCGUGGGGAGCAAACAGGAUUAGAUACCCUAGUAGUC
Molecule: ribosomal RNA, 459 nt
Filed under: uncultured bacterium
Lineage: Bacteria
Description: partial 16S ribosomal RNA
Rfam family: Bacterial small subunit ribosomal RNA
Source: RNAcentral